This is a long non-coding RNA of Bombyx mori (domestic silkworm), 467 nucleotides long. RefSeq lists it as uncharacterized. The transcript has 3 exons. NCBI's taxonomy places the organism in Eukaryota, Metazoa, Arthropoda, Insecta, Lepidoptera, Bombycidae. The record is from RefSeq and is a predicted model, not a curated record.
GUCACGGUUUGCAGAUAUCAAUGUGACAAACGAGAAUGACUCACAAAAUAGUCGCUUUUUCGAUAUCAUUUUAAUCAUUAUUGAAUCGCUGGGAAAACGUUCCAGAAAAUAUGUUUGAAAGCUGUUUUGAGUUUUUUUUUAAUAUGGAAGAAUUAUUGUUGUCACGGAGGUCUUUAAAGUUCAUCCAGGAUGAGUGGACGAGCACGGGCUCAUCCGGAAAGGGGCUACAGUGACCUUCCAGGGACCCGAAACAUGAAUUACCUAUUACAAUUAAAGGGGUGUGGGGUAUAGGAAGUGUGAGUGUAGUCUUCACAACCAUCGACUUUAGAUACUGAACUUCAAAUUUUUUUUAUGAGGCCGUAAAUAAUUUAACACUGAAUUCCUCGAGCGAAAUAUUCUCUGAGUGUUAUUGGUUUGUAUAUCUGUGGAAAGUUUACUAGUUUAUAAAUAUUUUUCUUUUAUUGUUU